AGAGAAUCGCCUGAACCUGGGAGGUGGAGGUUGCAGUGAGCCGAGAUCGCGUCACUGCAUUCCAGCCUGGGUGACAGAU
RNAcentral lists this small nuclear RNA (79 nucleotides) under Homo sapiens (human). Its description in RNAcentral is "partial ncRNA". The record is from RNAcentral. Lineage: Eukaryota; Metazoa; Chordata; Mammalia; Primates; Hominidae.